GACAGAGGGUGCGAGCGUUAUUCGGAUUUAUUAGGCGUAAAGGGCGCGUAGGCGGCUAAGAAAGUUAAAUGUAAAAUGCUAAUGCUUAACAUUGGUUGUGCAUUUAAUACUACUUAGCUUGAGUAUAUAAGAGGUAAUUGGAAUUCCUAGUGUAGGGGUCAAAUCCGUAGAUAUUAGGAGGAACAUCAGAGGCGAAGGCGGAUUACUGGUAUAUUACUGACGCUAAGGCGCGAAAGCGUGGGGAGCAAAAAGG
Molecule: ribosomal RNA, 253 nt
Filed under: uncultured bacterium
Lineage: Bacteria
Description: partial 16S ribosomal RNA
Rfam family: Bacterial small subunit ribosomal RNA
Source: RNAcentral